Small nucleolar RNA from Aureobasidium pullulans, 94 nucleotides. It matches the Rfam family "A. fumigatus snoRNA Afu_455". The record is from Rfam. NCBI's taxonomy places the organism in Eukaryota, Fungi, Ascomycota, Dothideomycetes, Dothideales, Saccotheciaceae.
UUGGGUGAUGAUAUACCGACUCCGGAAAGGCAUUCCUCGACCUGAAUAUACAAUGUCGAAUCUGUCUAAAAUCAAGUUUCAGCCUUGUCUGACU